GACGAACGCUGGCGGCGUGCUUAACACAUGCAAGUCGAACGGAAAGGCCCUGCUUUUGUGGGGUGCUCGAGUGGCGAACGGGUGAGUAACACGUGAGUAACCUGCCCUUGACUUUGGGAUAACUUCAGGGAACUGGGGCUAAUACCGGAUAGGAGCUCCUGAUGCGUGGUGGUGGUUGGAAAGUUUCGGCGGUUGGGGAUGGUCUCGCGGCUUAUCAGCUUGUUGGUGGGGUAGUGGCUUACAAAGGCUUUGACGGGUAGCCGGCCUGAGAGGGUGACCGGGCACAUGGGGACUGAGAGACGGAGCAGAAUGCUACGGGAGGCAGCAGGGGGGAAUAUUGCACAAUGGGCGGAAGUGUGAGGCAGCAACGCCGCGUGCGGGAUGACGGCCUUCGGGUUGUAAACCGCUGUCGCCGGAGACGAAGCGUGAGUGACGGUAAUGGGUAAAGAAGCACCGGCUAACUACGUG
RNAcentral lists this ribosomal RNA (468 nucleotides) under uncultured bacterium. Its description in RNAcentral is "partial 16S ribosomal RNA". It matches the Rfam family "Bacterial small subunit ribosomal RNA", at positions 28 to 507 of the family's 1533-position model. The record is from RNAcentral.